This 17-nucleotide transfer RNA is filed under the name Smilisca phaeota. Its description in RNAcentral is "partial tRNA-Phe". Lineage: Eukaryota; Metazoa; Chordata; Amphibia; Anura; Hylidae. The record is from RNAcentral.
AAAAAUUCUUUAAACAC